Molecule: ribosomal RNA, 302 nt
Filed under: uncultured bacterium
Lineage: Bacteria
Description: partial 16S ribosomal RNA
Rfam family: Bacterial small subunit ribosomal RNA
Source: RNAcentral
GCAGCAGCCGCGGUAAUACGUAGGGGGCAAGCGUUGUCCGGAAUUAUUGGGCGUAAAGCGCGCGCAGGCGGUUCAGUUAGUCUGUCUUAAAAGUUCGGGGCUUAACCCCGUGAUGGGAUGGAAACUGCUGAUCUAGAGUAUCGGAGAGGAAAGUGGAAUUCCUAGUGUAGCGGUGAAUGCGUAGAUAUUAGGAAGAACACCAGUGGCGAAGGCGACUUUCUGGACGAAAACUGACGCUGAGGCGCGAAAGCCAGGGGAGCGAACGGGAUUAGAUACCCGGGUAGUCCCUGUCUCUUAUACAC